ACAAACUUGGUCAUUUAGAGGAAGUAAAAGUCGUAACAAGGUUUCCGUAGGUGAACCUGCGGAAGGAUCAUUACCGAACGGACGCGCCGUGCCCUCGCGGGCCUCCGGCCGUCUUCUUCGAACACCCCUGUGAACUUGUGAUUCGUGUCCCCCGGGACGACGCGCGCCGGCCCGGCUCACCACACCACACACAAACCACGUCUUCUGACCUCUUGACUGAGACCAAUGUUGGCGCACGCCGCGUUGCGGCGCGCACCGACGACAAGACCGAACUAUCACAACUUUUAACAACGGAUAUCUUGGCUCGCGCAUCGAUGAAGAACGCAGC
RNAcentral lists this unclassified non-coding RNA (328 nucleotides) under uncultured fungus. RNAcentral's name for it is "partial contains small subunit ribosomal RNA, internal transcribed spacer 1, and 5.8S ribosomal RNA". The stretch from base 1 to 73 matches the Rfam family "Eukaryotic small subunit ribosomal RNA", at positions 1759 to 1831 of the family's 1831-position model. Lineage: Eukaryota; Fungi. The record is from RNAcentral.